Piliocolobus tephrosceles (Ugandan red Colobus) is the source of this 145-nucleotide long non-coding RNA. RefSeq lists it as uncharacterized. The transcript has 2 exons. Lineage: Eukaryota; Metazoa; Chordata; Mammalia; Primates; Cercopithecidae. The record is from RefSeq and is a predicted model, not a curated record.
CAAAGCAACUCCUACUAAGGAAGCCCAUUCAGAAGCUGACUGGACAUUCUGGCAGGCCGAGGAUGGAGACUCUCCUGAAAGUGCUUUCAGGCACCUUGUUGUGGCAGUUGACCUGUACCCACAGCUUGUCAAUAGAAAGACAGCA